Long non-coding RNA from Lolium rigidum, 1328 nucleotides. RefSeq lists it as uncharacterized. The record is from RefSeq and is a predicted model, not a curated record. The transcript has 2 exons. Lineage: Eukaryota; Viridiplantae; Streptophyta; Magnoliopsida; Poales; Poaceae.
UCUCAAAAUUCAGUUCUCUGUUCUUUCUUGCAAGUAGAUGUCCAACACCAAGAAUUUGUUUAUUUUCCAUAGGGAGGGUCUGAAUCCUACUUCUGUACAUCAAGUUGGUGCAAGAUUUAGAAAUCUAGAUCAUGCUUGGCCGUUUGGGUUUAUAAUGGAGGUCAAGUAGGCUUAGAGGUAAAAACAAGUCUGAUAGCAAGGUGACUUCAUGUCAAUAUGUUUGUGCAAAGGUGGGUUAUCGACAACCGAGAUUGUGUGAUAAAUAAUCUCCCAUACGAUCAUGUGAUAAGAAUUAAGGUACCUAUGUUGGUGGAAACAAGCAAAUUGUACACUGCCACCAUAUUUGAACCGUUUCAAGGUCAAUAUGAAAGAUCAAUGGCUGCAUACACAAUAGUACUAGAGGAAUAUAACACAUGCCGUUGCAAUUGGGAGUGGGGAUGGUGGUUUAGCUUUUGUGGAGAAGAAGCGGAUUGUUGUUGGUAAUCCUUUAGAGCAAAUAACUUUAUAUAGUUGUGGGCUAUUUACAAGAACUGGCACACUGUGUUGUCAUGCUUUGAAAGUUCUUGACUUGAUGAAUAUCAAGUUGUCGCUGAAACAAUAUACGGAGUAUUUUGAAGUGAUGGACAAGGGAGGCACGUUGUGGAAUGAUACAAGACAAUCGAGGAAGAAGCAUUGUUGAAUAUCCAAAAUUGGAUGCUGUUAUAGGUUUCUCACAUAAAUGUCUGAACUUGGUGUAUGCUCUAGCCGGCUUUCCGGAGUGUCCUUGUUAGUAGAUAAUGCACUUAAUAGUCUUCCUAAGCAGCUUGAGGAGAAAAUCAAUGCAUCUUCAAGUAUGGCAAGUAACUCACAUAACGCCCAAGAUGUUCGACAAGAAUAAGAUUUACCUAGUGUUGCAUGGCUCAAGAAAAAGGAGGUUCAACCAAGAAGUUAAGACACAAAAAAUAAGUUGGGUUGACAAAUUACACAAGUUCAAAAAGAAAGUUUCUACUAAAUCUAGCGUAUGUUCCUUUAGGAACUUGCCAUUUUUUGUUCUUAUUCAUACAUACGCAGAAUAACAAGUUGCACUUCUUCAUGCAGCUUUCCUGCUGUACCGACAAUUAAGAUGACUUGGAACAAUUCAGUGAGAUGGGUAGCAUCACUAGCUACAUUGAACUUCUGACUGGUCAUAGUCAGCUUGCUGAUUUAGGACUUGAGCAUCUUCUUUAGGCCUCUCUUUUAGUAAUUACUGUCAUUGUGUUAUUUUGUUCAUGGAGCAAACUGUAACUGUGCAGUUUGAUUUACAACGCCAAAACUGAAUGUAGUUUGACGCUGCUCUUUUGCUUUGUUAA